CCUACGGGUGGCAGCAGUGAGGAAUAUUGGUCAAUGGGCGCGAGCCUGAACCAGCCAAGUAGCGUGAAGGAUGACUGCCCUACGGGGUGUAAAUUUCUCUUAUAAAGGAAUAAAUUGCUGCACGUGUGCCUUUUUGUAUGUACUUUAUGAAUAAGGAUCGCCUAACUCCGUGCCAGCAGCAGGGGUAAUACGGAGGAUCCGAGCGUUAUCCGGGUUUAUUGGGUUUAAAGGGUCCGUAGAUGGGUGGUAAAGUCUGUUGUGAAAGUUUGCGGCUCAACUGUAAAAUUGCAAUUGAUACUGGCAGCCUUGAAUGCAGUUGAGGUAGGCGGAAUUCGUGGUGUAGCGGUGAAAUGCUUAGAUAUCACGAAGAACUCCGAUUGCGAAAGCAGCUUACUAAGCUGCCACUGACAUUGAUGCACGAAAGUGUGGGUAUCAAACAGGAUUAGAUACCCCGGUAGUC
RNAcentral lists this ribosomal RNA (460 nucleotides) under uncultured bacterium. RNAcentral's name for it is "partial 16S ribosomal RNA". It matches the Rfam family "Bacterial small subunit ribosomal RNA", at positions 338 to 795 of the family's 1533-position model. The record is from RNAcentral.